Molecule: ribosomal RNA, 350 nt
Filed under: uncultured bacterium
Lineage: Bacteria
Description: bacterial SSU rRNA
Rfam family: Bacterial small subunit ribosomal RNA
Source: RNAcentral
GAUGAACGCUGGCGGCGUGCUUAACACAUGCAAGUCGAACGAAGCAGAUUGAGAUCUUCGGAAGGAUAUCUGACUGAGUGGCGGACGGGUGAGUAACGCGUGGGUAACCUGCCUCAUACAGGGGGAUAACAGUUAGAAAUGACUGCUAAUACCGCAUAAGCGCACAGUACCGCAUGGUAACGGUGUGAAAAACUCCGGUGGUAUGAGAUGGACCCGUGUCUGAUUAGCUAGUUGGUGGGGUAACGGCCUACCAAGGCGACGAUCAGUAGCCGACCUGAGACGGGUGACCGGCCACAUUGGGACUGAGACACGGCCCAAAACUCCUACGGGAGGCAGCAGUGGGAAUAUUG